Molecule: ribosomal RNA, 466 nt
Filed under: uncultured bacterium
Lineage: Bacteria
Description: bacterial SSU rRNA
Rfam family: Bacterial small subunit ribosomal RNA
Source: RNAcentral
CCUACGGGAUGCACCAGUGGGGAAUAUUGGACAAUGGGGGGAACCCUGAUCCAGCCAUGCCGCGUGUGUGAAGAAGGCCUUUUGGUUGUAAAGCACUUUAAGCGAGGAGGAGGCUACCUAGAUUAAUACUUUAGGAUAGUGGACCUUACUCGCAGAAUAAGCACCGGCUAACUCUGUGCCAGCAGCCGCGGUAAUACAGAGGGUGCGAGCGUUAAUCGGAUUUACUGGGCGUAAAGCGUGCGUAGGCGGUCAAUUAAGUCAAAUGUGAAAUCCCCGAGCUUAACUUGGGAAUUGCAUUCGAUACUGGUUGGCUAGAGUAUGGGAGAGGAUGGUAGAAUUCCAGGUGUAGCGGUGAAAUGCGUAGAGAUCUGGAGGAAUACCGGUGGCGAAGGCGGCCCCCUGGACGAAGACUGACGCUCAGGUGCGAAAGCGUGGGGAGCAAACAGGAUUAGAUACCCGAGUAGUC